This 436-nucleotide unclassified non-coding RNA is filed under the name uncultured Tomentella. RNAcentral's name for it is "sequence contains ITS2". The stretch from base 1 to 155 matches the Rfam family "5.8S ribosomal RNA". Lineage: Eukaryota; Fungi; Basidiomycota; Agaricomycetes; Thelephorales; Thelephoraceae. The record is from RNAcentral.
AACUUUUGGCAAUGGAUCUCUUGGCUCUCGCAUCGAUGAAGAACGCAGCGAAAUGCGAUAAGUAAUGUAAAUUGCAGAAUUCAGUGAAUCAUCGAAUCUUUGAACGCACCUUGCGCCCUUUGGCUAUUCUGAAGGGCAUGCCUGUUUGAGUAUCAUGAACACCUCAACUCUCAUGGUCCGCCAUGAUGAGCUUGGACUUUGGGGGUCUUGCCGGCCCAGUGUCGGCUCCUCUCAAAUGGAUCAGCUUGCCAGUGUUUGGUGGCGUCACAGGUGUGAUAACUAUCUACGCUUGUGGUUUUCUGCCAUAUAACCUUCAGUGAUGGAGGUUCUCUGGAGCUCACAGAUGUCUCUCCUUGGGGAGGACAGCUUUUGAACGUUUGAUCUCAAAUCAGGUAGGACUACCCGCUGAACUUAAGCAUAUCAAUAAGCGGAGGCU